This 252-nucleotide signal recognition particle RNA is filed under the name Chlorocebus sabaeus (green monkey). RNAcentral's name for it is "Metazoan signal recognition particle RNA". It matches the Rfam family "Metazoan signal recognition particle RNA". From Rfam's summary of the family: The signal recognition particle (SRP) is a universally conserved ribonucleoprotein. It is involved in the co-translational targeting of proteins to membranes. The eukaryotic SRP consists of a 300-nucleotide 7S RNA and six proteins: SRPs 72, 68, 54, 19, 14, and 9. The record is from Rfam by way of RNAcentral. Lineage: Eukaryota; Metazoa; Chordata; Mammalia; Primates; Cercopithecidae.
GCCGGGCGCAGUGGCGGGCACCUGUAGUCCCAGCUACUGGGGAGGCUGAGGUAGGAGAAUGGCGUGAACCCGCGAGGCGGAGCUUGCAGUGAGCCGAGAUCUGGCCACUGCACUCCAGCCCGGGCGACAGAGCAAGACUNNNNNNNNNNGUUAGACGGAGUCUUGCUCUGUCGCCCGGGCUGGAGUGCAGUGGCCAGAUCUCAGCUCACUGCAAGCUCCGCCUCCCGGGUUCACGCCAUUCUCCAGUCUCAG